ACCUCAAUCGGUUUUUGCAGCUUCUGGGUGUCGUGUCGAACGAUCGCAGAACGAUUUUUUGUUAUUUUCCAACUCGAUUUUUAACUCCCUAGACUAGUAGGAUGUUCCAACGGGUGAAGCAACAGUGCUGACGGCAGAGUUUCAGUGUCAAUUUUUCAUGCCAUGAUCACUGGGGCGGAAACCAUUAUGACGUUGCCUUGGACAUCAAACUAAACCAUCUCAUUCUGGCUUUUUUCUAACAUCGAAAUCUCAGAAGGCCAGGACUAAGAUGGACGCAGCCUCCACAUGCAACCUUGCAUUUGAGGAACACCCAUAGAACGGUCAACUUACCCCAUACUCUAACCUGAAUGCAGGGAUCAUAAAACUUUAUCUUUUACCUUAAUUGUUAGAUGGGUGUUGAUACCAAACUUUUUUGUCUCGUCUACCCAGUAGAAAGUCAUGGGUUCUGCUGCUGAGAAUUCUGGCUUGAUGUUUGGUCCACCUGUUAGCUGGCUCUGGUGCUUGGUAGUCUUCUCAAACCUCUGAAUCAAGGCCACCAUGAGAGGCCUUCUGAAGACCAUCAUUACGCUUCAGAUCCAGUUGUCUUAACUAUGAGCCUACCACAAUCCCUGUGCACCAGCUAUGGAAAGUGCAGACCAAACUUCUACCUCCACCUAUAGAACUGAACUGGAGUCUGUGAACUAAUGCUGUGUUCGAGACAACUGGAACAGCAAACAAAGUUGAGUAUCCGACCUCUCAACUUGUGACUGAUCGAUCAGCACCAACCUCAACGAGAUGCAUCAUUUGACAUUGCAGACAAGUUGGUGGCUAGCCUUUCACAGCCUUACAUGAACCGCAAACAAACUUUAAACUAUUUUUACAGCACAUAAUAUUUAUGAACAUGAAUGUUAAAUUAUCCAGUAACCAUUUUCUGCCAUAAUUGGCACAAGAGCACAAACUUCUCCUGGCGUCUCAUUAUGUGGUAAACACGCAAAUGUGAUAUGUGAUUGACUGGAAUGCAUUGAGGUCGGUGGUAGGAUAUUUAAUGACAUAACAUCAGAAAUCCGAAUUGUAACACUGCGCAAUAUUUCACAUAAUUGUCAUGACCUGAUUAUCCUCCCAUGUUUUUAACACAACCAUUGAUUGGUCACACGGAAGCAGAGACUUUGUCCUUUGUAUCUCUCAAAAAAAAGAAUUCUAUAUUUAAUGUUAAAAAACACUUACAGUAGACUGUGUUAGAUAACUGUGCUUUUGGAAGUCAUUUCUGAUAACCGCACACCUAACUUGUCUAAUGUCUUAAAAAUAGGCACCAGAGCAAUGUUUGUGGUAACCGUGGUAUAAGAGGAAUAAUUGACUCCGGUCUUUUGAAUUAUUUGAAAAUAAAGCACACCCGCGGUGUAACGGCACUCUGCUUCGCGUCGUGCCGCAUUGCACCUUGGGUGUGCAUUAUUUUCUUAUAAUUCAAUGGCCCGUCGUCAAUUAUUCCUUACAUAUUGAAGGUUGACAGGUUUGUUUGCAUGUAAUUGCAGUAUUAUUAAUUUGGGGUUGAUAGUCCAAUGUUGAUUUG
This is a long non-coding RNA of Paramisgurnus dabryanus, 1546 nucleotides long. RefSeq lists it as uncharacterized. The record is from RefSeq and is a predicted model, not a curated record. NCBI's taxonomy places the organism in Eukaryota, Metazoa, Chordata, Actinopteri, Cypriniformes, Cobitidae.